RNAcentral lists this long non-coding RNA (1163 nucleotides) under Zonotrichia albicollis (white-throated sparrow). Its description in RNAcentral is "lncRNA (ENSZALG00000008546.1)". Lineage: Eukaryota; Metazoa; Chordata; Aves; Passeriformes; Passerellidae. The record is from RNAcentral.
GUCACUGCCACUGGGGUACUGUCACACCAUCACUGUCACUGGGACACUGCCACCCCUGCACUGGCACUGGGGCACUGCCACUGUUACACCUGCACUGUCACUGCCACUGUCACAGGGGCACUGUCAUUGUCACACCUGCACAGCCACUCUCACUGUCACAGCAGUACUGUCAUUGUCACACCUGCACUGUCACUGGGGCACUGUCAUUGCCACACCUGCACUGCCACUGUCACAGCAGUACUGCCACUGUCACACCUGCACCGCCACUUUCACAGGGACAUUGCCAUUGUCACUGUCACAGCAGCACAGCUGCUGUCACAGCUUCACCACCGCUGUCACCAUCACAGCAGUACUGUCACUGUAACACCUGCACAGCUGCUGUCACCACCACUGUCACAGCUGCACUGCCACUGUCACCAUCACAGCAGUACUGUCACACCUGUACUGCCACUGCCACCAUUACAGUAGUACUGUCACUGUCACACCUGUACUGCUGCUGUCACCACCGCUGUCACCAUCACAGCAGUACCAUCACUGACAUCUGCACUGCCACUGUCACCAUCACAGCAGUACCAUCACUGGGACAUCUGCAUGGCUGCUGUCAUCACCACUGUCACAUCUGCACUGCCACCGUCACCAUUACAGCAGUACUGUCACUGUCACAGCUGCACUGCCACUGUCACAGCUGCACCGCCACUGUCACCAUCACAGCAGUACUGAUGCUGUCACAGCUGCAUUGCCACUGUCACCAUCACAGCAGUACCAUCACUGUCACACCUGUACUGCUGCUGUCACCACCACUGUCACAGCAGCACCACCACUAUCACUGUCUCAGCACCAUCACCACUGUCCCUGUCACGCCUGCACUGUCCCCAUCACAGCACCAUCACCAUUGUCACUGUCACACCUGCACUGUCACCAUCACCAUUGUCACUGUCACACCUGCACUGUCCCCAUCACAGCACCAUCACCCCUGUCCCUGUCACACCUGCACUGUCCCCAUCACAGCACCAUCACCACUGUCACUGUCACACCUGCACUGUCCCCAUCACAGCUGCACCACCACUGUCCCUGUCACACCUGCACUGUCCCCAUCACAGCUGCACCACCAUUGUCACUGUCACACCUGCACUGUGCCCAUCACAGCACCAUCACNCUGGCCA